GAGGAGAGCUUGCUCUCUGAUUCAGCGGCGGACGGGUGAGUAAUGCCUAGGAAUCUGCCUGGUAGUGGGGGACAACGUUUCGAAAGGAACGCUAAUACCGCAUACGUCCUACGGGAGAAAGUGGGGGAUCUUCGGACCUCACGCUAUCAGAUGAGCCUAGGUCGGAUUAGCUAGUUGGUGGGGUAACGGCUCACCAAGGCGACGAUCCGUAACUGGUCUGAGAGGAUGAUCAGUCACACUGGAACUGAGACACGGUCCAGACUCCUACGGGAGGCAGCAGUGGGGAAUAUUGGACAAUGGGCGAAAGCCUGAUCCAGCCAUGCCGCGUGUGUGAAGAAGGCCCUCGGGUCGUAAAGCACUUUAAGCUGGGAGGAAGGGUUGUAACCUAAUACGUUGCAGCUUUGACGUUACCAGCAGAAUAAGCACCGGCUAACUCUGUGCCAGCAGCCGCGGUAAUACAGAGGGUGCAAGCGUUAAUCGGAAUUACUGGGCGUAAAGCGCGCGUAGGUGGCUUGGUAAGUUGAAUGUGAAAUCCCCGGGCUCAACCUGGGAACUGCAUCCAAAACUGCCUGGCUAGAGUACGGUAGAGGGUGGUGGAAUUUCCUGUGUAGCGGUGAAAUGCGUAGAUAUAGGAAGGAACACCAGUGGCGAAGGCGACCACCUGGACUGAUACUGACACUGAGGUGCGAAAGCGUGGGGAGCAAACAGGAUUAGAUACCCUGGUAGUCCACGCCGUAAACGAUGUCAACUAGCCCUUGGGGUCCUUGAGACUUUAGUGGCGCAGCUAACGCAAUAAGUUGACCGC
RNAcentral lists this ribosomal RNA (805 nucleotides) under Pseudomonas luteola. RNAcentral's name for it is "bacterial SSU rRNA". It matches the Rfam family "Bacterial small subunit ribosomal RNA", at positions 71 to 872 of the family's 1533-position model. The record is from RNAcentral. Lineage: Bacteria; Pseudomonadati; Pseudomonadota; Gammaproteobacteria; Pseudomonadales; Pseudomonadaceae.